Molecule: long non-coding RNA, 1214 nt
Filed under: Medicago truncatula (barrel medic)
Lineage: Eukaryota; Viridiplantae; Streptophyta; Magnoliopsida; Fabales; Fabaceae
Description: lncRNA gene29721
Source: RNAcentral
AUUAUAAUCAUGUAAAAUUGUCAUUUAUCAACUACUUUUAGAUUAUUUUAUCAUAUAAAAUUGUCAUAUAUAAACUGUACUUUUAGAUUAAAAAUAAUAUUAAAAAAAACCUCAACUAACACUUUCUACUGCAAUAGAGUUUCAAUGAUUGAACAAAAAAGAGAAUCAAAUCCAAAAGGGUAACACAUGGUAAUUUAAAAAGUUGAUAGUGAUUUAACAAACCUGCCAUAAUGAAGCUUUCUCAGCCCAGAACUUAGAACCACCAGAAAACUCAGAAUCAAACCCAUUAGGAAGAUGCUGAUUAUGCUGCUGCUGUUGUUGUUGUUGUUGAUAGAUAACAUCAACUUCCUCAGCAGUGUUCCCCACCAUAUCUUCCCUACUCCCGCACCCACCCAAUCCCUCCUCCUCUUGAAACCUUCUCGAAAUAAACCCAAUCAUCUCAUCUCUCUCAACAACCUCACGCUCAAGAUCCUCCACACGCGCCUUAGAAUCUUCCACCACCGCUCUCAACCUCACGAUCUCCUCCGACGCGGCGUCGAUUCGCCGUAAGAGACGCUUCUCCUCAUCGCGCCAUGAGUUUCUGUGUGAAGCGAAGAUCUCAGCGACUCUUGCGUUUGCUUUGUAGUCUUCUUGCCGGCGUGAUUUUAGCUGACGUAGCUCUUCUUCUGCACGAAUGGUGCGUUGAGAAUGUUCUCGAAGGUUUGUUGGAAGCAACGCUAAGAAGACAGAGAAGCUUAGACCUAUGUAGGAUGAAAAUAGCUUCCUCAUUUCUUCGUGUUCGUCUUGUUCUGCCAUUGAUGGUGAGUGUAUGAGAAAGAAAGGAGUGAAAGGGGGGUUUUGGUUUUUGUGGUGGGGGUGCAAAGAGUGAAAUGAAAGAAAGAAAGGGAAAAGGAGUGUUUCUUUUUUGGUUGGGAGAAACAGAAAAGGGGGGGACAGUGGCUGUUUGUCUGGUUUUGUGAAGUGGGUAGCUGGCUACGUCGUUUUAAUGGGUUUGCUGUUUGGUGAUUAAUAAUUACAAAAGAUUGUUCUGUCUCUCACAACUAAACAUAUAGUUAGGUUCUGCUCAUUUUGUUUGAAUAAGUGGUUCUAUUAAUGAAAUUAGUCAUUCGUGUAAAAAAUUAGAUGUGCUAAUGUGUUUCAUUUUAUGUACAGUAAGCUUGUAGUUGUUCACCAAAAUGACCGGCUUUGAGAUGGAAUGAUUGGUUAAACCCCAU